This 268-nucleotide unclassified non-coding RNA is filed under the name Melitaea cinxia (Glanville fritillary). RNAcentral's name for it is "misc RNA ENSMCXG00005001042.1". Lineage: Eukaryota; Metazoa; Arthropoda; Insecta; Lepidoptera; Nymphalidae. The record is from RNAcentral.
GGCGCGGGUAUACGAAAUUCUAAGCGGCGAUUUAGUGGACUGUAUAUUUGUUUGUUUGCUCGAUCCCACAGGUAAAUGGGACGUAGGGACUUUGGAAUUAUGGAGGAAGGGAAACUGACCUUUGCAAGCUUCUUCUUAAAUGGCCGCCACCGUUGUCCUUCGGGCACACGACGAGCGCAGUAACACUUUGUCCAGGGGCUGAUACAGUCUUCUUCCCUUCACUCACACAACUCCCAAAGCGGAUAAUUAUAGAUUUACGGUAGGCAAU